Pseudoliparis swirei is the source of this 398-nucleotide long non-coding RNA. RefSeq lists it as uncharacterized. NCBI's taxonomy places the organism in Eukaryota, Metazoa, Chordata, Actinopteri, Perciformes, Liparidae. The transcript has 2 exons. The record is from RefSeq and is a predicted model, not a curated record.
AGGUUAGAGGCUAGGCGGGGUUAGGAGAUUAGGGGUUAGAGGCUAGGAGAGGUUAGGAGAUUAGGGGUUAGAGGCUAGGAGAGGUUAGGGGUUAGGAGAGGUUAGAGGCUAGGAGAGGUUAGGGGUUAGAGGAGAGGUUAGAGGUUAGGGUUAGGGGAGGUUAGAGGAGAGGUUAGGGGUUAGGAGAGGUUAGGGGAGGUUAGAGGCUAGGAGAGGUUAGGGGCUAGGAGAGGUUAGAGGUUAGGGGAGGUUAGAGGCUAGGAGAGGUUAGGGGUUAGAGGCUAGGAGCCUGUUUUUGAUUGAGAGACGGACCAACAUUUUAAAAUGACUUGUGAAUAAUAUAAAUCCCUUUCUUUGAAGAUGUCAAUGUGCAUGUUAAUAAAUACCUGUCCACUGAU